GAUCAUGGCUCAGGAUGAACGCUGGCGGCGUGCUUAACACAUGCAAGUCGAACGAAGCACUUCAUAAAGCUUGCUUUAAGAAGUGACUUAGUGGCGGACGGGUGAGUAACGCGUGGGUAACCUGCCUUACACAGGGGGAUAACAGUUAGAAUGACUGCUAAUACCGCAUAAAACAGCAGAGUCGCAUGACUCAACUGUCAAAGAUUUAUCGGGUGUAAAGAUGGACCCGCGU
Molecule: ribosomal RNA, 232 nt
Filed under: uncultured bacterium
Lineage: Bacteria
Description: partial 16S ribosomal RNA
Rfam family: Bacterial small subunit ribosomal RNA
Source: RNAcentral